GGCUAGAUAACGUUGGGGUGU
This 21-nucleotide non-coding RNA is filed under the name Rattus norvegicus (Norway rat). Lineage: Eukaryota; Metazoa; Chordata; Mammalia; Rodentia; Muridae. The record is from RNAcentral.